AUUGAACGCUGGCGGCAGGCCUAACACAUGCAAGUCGAACGGUAACAGGAAACAGCUUGCUGUUUCGCUGACGAGUGGCGGACGGGUGAGUAAUGUCUGGGAAACUGCCUGAUGGAGGGGGAUAACUACUGGAAACGGUAGCUAAUACCACAUAACGUCGCAAGACCAAAGAGGGGGACCUUCGGGCCUCUUGCCAUCGGAUGUGCCCAGAUGGGAUUAGCUAGUAGGUGGGGUAACGGCUCACCUAGGCGACGAUCCCUAGCUGGUCUGAGAGGAUGACCAGCCACACUGGAACUGAGACACGGUCCAGACUCCUACGGGAGGCAGCAGUGGGGAAUAUUGCACAAUGGGCGCAAGCCUGAUGCAGCCAUGCCGCGUGUAUGAAGAAGGCCUUCGGGUUGUAAAGUACUUUCAGCGGGGAUGAAGGGAGUAAAGUUAAUACCUUGGCUCAUUGACGUUACCCGCAGAAGAAGCACCGGCUAACUCCGUG
RNAcentral lists this ribosomal RNA (490 nucleotides) under uncultured bacterium. RNAcentral describes it as "partial 16S ribosomal RNA". It matches the Rfam family "Bacterial small subunit ribosomal RNA", at positions 30 to 507 of the family's 1533-position model. The record is from RNAcentral.